Long non-coding RNA from Gasterosteus aculeatus aculeatus (three-spined stickleback), 3134 nucleotides. Lineage: Eukaryota; Metazoa; Chordata; Actinopteri; Perciformes; Gasterosteidae. The record is from Ensembl.
UAUACAGUUGAUGACAAAGUCAAGCUACUUUAAAUUUGCUGAAUGCAGAAUGUUACCGUGUGAGAACAAAGCCGCGGUGAGGGACACUGUACAAGGGGGAGGCAGACAUCUGGGACCUGCUUCAUGUCCAGCAAGAUGACAGACUCGUCCCAUAUCACUUCCUCGGCCGCUGCGUCCCUCGACCCUCUGCAUCACCUCGUCUAUCUUUAUCCCUCCUUCUGCAAGCUGCCGGUGUCAUCUAUCGGCUCACACUUCCAAAGCAGAGGAAUCCAUUCCGGACUCUGUCAAAGGGCCUUGUUGGGGCAAAGUGAGGGGUCUCAGUGGGAAUCGUGUGUCUCUGUGUAUUCCACCCUGGUGCAUGCACGGCCCGUGUGUCAGUGUGGAGUGACUUAGGCUUGGGUGGGCUUUUGGCCGAGUCGCCAGUUUAAAACACGAGCAUCCGCUUUAGAAAAUAGCUGGUUCUGCGAUACAAACGGAACCAAUAGAAAUAUCCCCUCGAACGUAUGAAGAGAACUCAGAUGGCUCUCAAUAUGUCACAAAGAAACGAGCUGCAAAUAUGCUUUGUAUAAAUCUCCAUCAGCUUGCAAACCGUUUGCCUUUUUAAACAUCCGGCACAAACAGAGCAACAUUAGCAUUCAUAGUCAUGAUUUUUACUUUUAGACAAACAUUACACCCAGUAAUUUAAUCCAAGGUUGAUAAAAAUGAAUAUCUGUUAGUGCAGCUACAAGUUAUCCAAGAGACUACAAUGUCAACGAGCUCUACGUCCCAACGCUAAGCUAACAGGCUAACCGCCGCCUUCAUCCACUUCUCCCCCAUGUGGUUAUCUGAGCACCGGCGGUCAGACAGGGAGGCAACAUCUUCCCGUGGUCGGCCGCUCCCAACCAGUAGGCAACGCUCUCAAGCGGCCGUGGGAGGGAACGAGGGAGAAAACCAGCCUCCUAAAUAUAGCCGAGCACUGGCGCUCGGCAAGAGGCCCCCCGGCAUGAGGCCACACACACUCACACAGACGUGUUUAACGCGUAUAAAAAACGAGACGCACACGAGGACAUUUUGACAUCAAGCUGCUCUUUCAUUUCCAAAAUUCAUGUCAUGAAAGAAAGUCACUUCUCAGCUCAGCGGUAUGAAAAAGAAAAAAAAAAAAACCUACGCGGUUUUAACAUUGUUUCCAACGAAAAACACGUGUUCAUUUAAAGCCCCCCCGUCGCUUGUAAACACGACGCAGUCUGCUAACCUGCAGCCACGCGGUCGGCCUGCUCAUCACGGCUUUGGGUUUCUGGUGGUUUGGUCUAGUGUUCCGAGAAACUGACAGGAAGACGGCGCCUCAGCUGUUUCCUGUUUAUGUUGAUGCUGCUGCAAUUGGUCGGAGGAGGUGGAAGGUUGGCCAAUGGGAGCGCAGUUGCCAGGCAGCCUGCUCCUUGUUUGGAGGCCCGCACAGCUGUUCCUUUGAAAAGAGACCACAAGGGCUGCGUGUGGCGUUGCCUCCAUGCUGGCGUGAAGAAUAGAGGCCCAAAAAUGAGUCACUCUAAAGGAACAAUGGAUUUUAAAAAGACAAAAGGAGCCCCUCUGCUCCAGCGCCUCGGUUCGGUUCCUGCUUCAGAGCAGUAUGUGGUGGCAGAAGGUAAAGAAUGAAGAUGUUUGCAAAGGCCAUAAAUACGCAGAGGAGAGCGAUGAGUCUUAUCAGACCAAAAGAACUCAUAUUUUAGUGUUUUUAAUGAAAUAAUAUUCUGCACCUCUCAGCGUAUUUCCGUGUCCCUGAGCGCGGAUCUGCUGACUGAAGGUUACCUGCAGGAUGGAGAAGCUUCAUCAACACCAAAGAAACAACUUGCAACGGCAGUGUGAGCCUUUGAUUUGAUUUGAAGGGACCGUUAGUACUUCAAAGCAGGGUGGAAAAGGACCCCGAAAAAGACCCCGAAAACUGGUCUCAAAUUACCAUUUCUCCUUCCCGUCAAGGCGCCGUUGAUUUUCUCUUAAGCUUCGUGCCAUGUUGGAUUUACUGACACAAAAAAAACGCCAAAAAAAACACAGGUUUAAAUUGGUGGAGCUAUUCCAGGCGGUGUUAAGCCAACAGUGUUGUGUUGGUGGGGGGGGGGCUCCUCUCAAAGUGACUCCCACCUUCUCUGGAGAAAAUAUUUGGAUGGUCUUAGAAACAAAAGUAGCUCUCACAUUCUCGUACAAACUCAAAAGACUUGACUUGCAUUCCUCUUUUAUUUUCGCCUUUUCUCAUCUGCGCAGGAGUCUAAAGAGCAUUUGGGGAUGUCCUUGAACACCAGAGUCCUCGUUCUGCUGCCAAAGACCUGUGAGCGAGUGUUUACUCUACCCGUUCAUGCCGAAUAGCAGAACCAUUUAUAUGUAAAGCGGCAACUAUUAAAGGACACACGGGGACUGAGAAGCCGCACCGCCUAUAGGGAAUAAAGUCCAUUUGCGUUGUGUGCUGUUUGUCCAAGGAGUCACACGCACUGCACACAAUGUGUCUCUGACGCUCUUAGCCAACAAAUGUAUCACAGUCUGUGACCUUUGCCCUUGGACCUUGUUAACCCCGCCCCACCGCCAGCCGCCAGCAGUCGGGCACCGAGCAGAUGGAAUAGUUUGGGGGAGGGUUUGUCUUUUUUACACAGUCGUGUUGUCACUCAAGCCUUCGCCGUCUACUGCCUGGAUUCACCGCUACCUCCUUCUACUCUAUUUACUCCUGGAUUUGUUACAUUCUAUUCAUGUUUACUGUAAAUCCGAUCGAGUGCCCCCCCCAAAAAUUCCAGGACAUGCAGUGUUAAGGUCUUCAUUAAUUAUCUGUCCAAUGACGAUCAUUUACGUUCAAUGCACACCAGAGUCUCUACUCUGGACACCAAAAAAAACAAAAUCUCACGCCAGUUUCCCAAUGACUCAUUCGAAGCUGGCAAAAUAAUUUUAAGUGAUUCUGGGGCAUUGCCAAUAAAUAUAUAUAUAUAAAUAUAAAAGAAAAGAAAAGGAAAAAAAGCAAACUGGUGUAUGGGCAACUGGUGAGGCUGCUGGGCAGCUGUCCAGGCGUUUGGAUGCACCGGGGAACGUCAUUCAACUGUGAAGGAGAUUCAGCUGGAAGGCCGAUGUCCAGACAGACAGCUUUUACUCCACGAGGUGUGACUGUGAAAAGGGUUUUUGCA